GUGGGGAAUCUUAGACAAUGGGGGCAACCCUGAUCUAGCCAUGCCGCGUGAGUGAUGAAGGCCUUAGGGUCGUAAAGCUCUUUCGCCGGGGAAGAUAAUGACGGUACCCGGUAAAGAAACCCCGGCUAACUCCGUGCCAGCAGCCGCGGUAAUACGGAGGGGGUUAGCGUUGUUCGGAAUUACUGGGCGUAAAGCGCGCGUAGGCGGAUCGGAAAGUUGGGGGUGAAAUCCCGGGGCUCAACCCCGGAAUUGCCUUCAAAACUCCCGGUCUUGAGGUCGAGAGAGGUGAGUGGAAUUCCGAGUGUAGAGGUGAAAUUCGUAGAUAUUCGGAGGAACACCAGUGGCGAAGGCGGCUCACUGGCUCGAUACUGACGCUGAGGUGCGAAAGCGUGGGGAGCAAACAGGAUUAGAAACCCCGGUAGUCC
RNAcentral lists this ribosomal RNA (425 nucleotides) under uncultured bacterium. RNAcentral's name for it is "bacterial SSU rRNA". It matches the Rfam family "Bacterial small subunit ribosomal RNA", at positions 354 to 796 of the family's 1533-position model. The record is from RNAcentral.